This 456-nucleotide long non-coding RNA is filed under the name Anas platyrhynchos platyrhynchos (common mallard). Its description in RNAcentral is "lncRNA (ENSAPLG00000025085.1)". Lineage: Eukaryota; Metazoa; Chordata; Aves; Anseriformes; Anatidae. The record is from RNAcentral.
GUAAGUGUGGAAAUAUCCCCUAUGAUGUAUAUGUAUCUUUUAGGUGAUACACAGCACUAAGCUGUCAGCCACUUUUGGUAAUUACUGAUUUGCAGUGGAUUUCCAUUGUUAUUUAGAAGUGAAAAUACUUAUCAGCACUUUAAUGAACAUUUGUAACCCUAAUGAACGCUCAUCAAAAUAUCUUUCAUCUUCCAGGGUCCCACAUAUUUGCAAGUGUCCAGGAUGAGUUCUUCACUUAUUUCACAAGCAGGGAUAUCAUUGAUAAAUGGCCUGGCUCAAAUCCUGUAAUGAUGUUCAUAAAAAUUCCAGUCCAGGUAAUUAUUAUUAUUUUUUCUCUAUGUAAUUACGCUGGCAAUUUCAAAUAUGGGAAAUACCUUUUGUUGUUUCCAGUUUCAAAUAUGCGUUUGGGUUACUGUAUGCUAUGAAAUAAUUGCUGUCUCCUACAGUGACUAUCAG